GUGCUUGGGCGAGAGUAGUACUGGGAUGGGUGACCUCCUGGGAAGUCCUCGUGUUGCACCCCCCGAAAUCUCC
Molecule: ribosomal RNA, 73 nt
Filed under: Acorus calamus (Eurasian sweet-flag)
Lineage: Eukaryota; Viridiplantae; Streptophyta; Magnoliopsida; Acorales; Acoraceae
Source: RNAcentral